GCAUUUUCAAUUAUAUAUAUUAAAGUUAGUACUCACUACGCUUAUACAUUGGAACUUUGACAAAUGAUUUUAAUUAAUAAUGAGGUCAAGUAAACAUAUAAUCAUAAUAAAUCUUUCACCUACUUCUUUGGCCAAAAGCAGGCAACCUUUUUAGCUCCAAUAUAACCAUUUAAUUCCAACAACACCCAUCUUUUUUGCCCUAGCCACUUUCAUUUAUACCUACUACAUAAUACUUGUAAUUAGUUAUAUCAACAUAUCUUUGUUUCAAUAAAUUACAGCAUUGUAAUUGUAUAGUAUAUGAUGAAGAAACGACAUUCUAGUAUACCAUCUUACUUGUCACGGCGAAAAUACAAAUGAAACCUUUUUUUUUUGGCUACAAGAAUAUAUACAUGAAUCCAUUGAUCUAAAAAAUAAAAAGUCACUCUCAAGAAAAAUUUCUAGGAUAUUUCAACAGAUAUAUAUAUAUAUAACAAUUAAAAUCAAGAAACUAGAGAGAGAAUGGAAAAACAAUUAAAUAAAAUCAAGAAAAAGAAACAAAUUGAUACCCAACAAGGGUGCGGAGCAAGUGAAAUAGUGUAAUACGUGAUAUUGGCACGGCUCAAUCAAAUAACAAAGUUCUAAACAGAAAGAAUUCGAUUUUCUGAUUGAACUGCACCAAUAUCUCGUAUAUAUACGUAUUUUCAAAUAUAUAUCUAAAAGAACUAAAUUCAAAAUCUUACCAUGAUAUCCAAGCAAAG
RNAcentral lists this long non-coding RNA (737 nucleotides) under Capsicum annuum. The record is from RNAcentral. Lineage: Eukaryota; Viridiplantae; Streptophyta; Magnoliopsida; Solanales; Solanaceae.